Molecule: RNA transcript, 3246 nt
Organism: Arachis duranensis
Lineage: Eukaryota; Viridiplantae; Streptophyta; Magnoliopsida; Fabales; Fabaceae
Gene name: serine/arginine-rich splicing factor SR30
Exons: 14
Source: RefSeq, a predicted model, not a curated record
GAUUUUGCUCAAUAAAUAUAUUCUCUCUAUCUGUCUCUGUUUCUCUCUCACUUUAACCCUCACCUUCUAUAAGCUUCUCUCAGCUUCUUCUCAUUUCAGUGCUUCGGGCGAAGAAAAAUGGCUAGACGGUCUAGUCGCACAAUUUAUGUUGGCAAUCUUCCUGGCGAUGUUCGCUUGAGGGAAGUAGAGGAUCUUUUCUACAAGUUUGGUCCUAUUGUUGACAUUGAUCUGAAGAUUCCUCCGAGACCACCAGGUUAUGCCUUUGUGGAGUUUGAGGAUAUCCGUGAUGCUGAAGAUGCCAUUUACUAUAGAGAUGGUUACAACUUUGACGGUUUUCGCUUACGGGUUGAACUUGCACAUGGUGGACGGGGUCAUACAUCAUCAGUAGACCGCUAUAGUAGCUAUAGUGGUAGUAGCAGUAGCCGCGGAGUUUCCAGGCGUUCCGAUUAUCGUGUUCUUGUCACAGGAUUACCCCCUUCUGCUUCAUGGCAAGACCUGAAAGAUCAUAUGCGAAGAGCUGGUGAUGUGUGUUUUUCUCAAGUCUUCCGUGAGCGUGGUGGUAUGACUGGGAUAGUGGAUUAUACAAAUUAUGAUGACAUGAAAUAUGCUAUAAGGAAGCUUGAUGACUCGGAAUUCAGAAAUGCCUUUUCUCGGUCAUACAUACGGGUCAGGGAAUAUGAUCGCCGGAGUUAUUCUAGAAGCCCCAGUCGUGAUUCAAGGAGGAGCUAUUCGAGAAGCCUCAGCCGCAGUCCAUAUGUGUCGCGAAGUCGAAGCUAUAGUCGAAGUCCUAGCUAUAGUGACAGGAGCAGAAGUUGGUCUCCAAAACCAAAGCAUUCUCGGCGUUCGUUAUCUCGCUCAAGAGGAUCAAAAUCUCCUACUUUUGUUCCCGUUGACUAAAUUCUCUGGAUCUGUUACUGCUGGUGAAUCUGUUGGGAGAUAUCCAAAUAAUAAGACAGGUGGAGUGGCAGACACCAUAUUCUGCAUACUCCAGAUAUCAUGCACUAUCAGGAAUGUAAAAUUGCUUCUGGUUAAUUAUGUGAUAUUUAUUAAUGCUUUUCAUCCAAGAUUGUUUUCCCCUAAAAUUUUGUAUAUGUUAUUGUUGAUUCAUGUUUAAAUACAUCUUUAUUCAUGUAAAACAAGUGAACUAGUGCCAACUUUUUGCCAAAGCCAGUAAUGCCAGCAAUCUCCACUAUGUUGGACAAGCAAAACCCCAGUCAAGCUUUUAGAUUAGGUGCACAUUAUCUCUAUUGUCUGUUAGUAGAUGUGAAAGCCUUGUUGAUACAAGCAAAGAGUUUUGUCAUAUUGUCUUCAAGUUCUCACUUAUAGCCGACCCCACUUAGUGGGAUAAGGCUUUGUUGUUGUUGUUGUUGUUGUUUUGUCUUCAAGUUCUCACUUAGAUUACUGUGUUUGGAGUAGCAGAGAUAGUGGAUUAUAAUUAUCAAGUAAUCAGUUUACCUGGAGCAGCUUGUGUGGUGAUUUGGUAAUACCAACCUAUUUUGAGGCCCAGAUGAUAGAGAAAUUAUUGUUGUUAGUCAAUUGAGUGACAAUGAUAACUGUUGGCUGAUUUCAAGUAGGGUUUGUUUACCUCAUUAAUUAUUUUUUAGCCCAAAAUGUACUCUGCAAUUUUUAGGAGUUUCUCGUCGCUUCUUACACCUCUUUAUAUAGAUGAUUUUGGUGUAAUAGUUUGAUUCAUUAGACAAGGUUCUUGAUUAUGUGGAAUUUGUGCUAUUUGACUUUUCAAAUGCGUUGUGUCCAGAAUUCUAGGUGGAGAUGGAAACUCUUUUAAGCCUCUGCUGUUAUAUGGAUAUGACAUCAUCCCUUUAUUUCACAUUUAAUUAAGGCCUUCAAUUUUCAAUGACCUUGAGAGAUGUCAUUCAUUUUAUUUCAUGGAUGGUUUGCACGUUUAUGUUGCGUUUCUAGAAAUUCCUAUUUGUGUCUCAAAAGUCAAACUGAAUGCAUGUUUCUGUUUCCCUAUUUUUGCAACUUAAAGGGAGUGUCUUCUUUCCUUGAAGUUUUCUUGUGUUUUCAAAGAAAACUUUUUGGUAUGUUCUGUCUACUUUGCUGUUCUCACAAAGCCAAAUUUUGUGUUUACUUUGUUGUUCUCAUAUAGCGAAUUGCUGUGCGCUAGAAGUAUCAGCAAUUAAGCAUAAUUCCUCAUACGUGGAAAGGUGGAUGGGGCAUUGGUAAAGUGGAUUGUCAGCUUUUGCCAAUAAUUUACUCGAUGUUCAUUAGGCUUGGCUCUUGUUUUCUAGAUGUGGCCUUUUCUGGUGACCUGGGAACUUCGUGUUAGGACCUGAGGGUAUGUGGUGCUCAAAACGCCUGCAACUUUUGGUCCAAGGUAAUAUUGUUUAAUUGAUGAGCACCUGUGAAACACCUUAAUGCUGCGACUAACGGUAACAGUGAUGAUAUAUUGAUUUAAGGCACAGUCUGCAAUUGUUGGCUGGAUGCCUAUAGAUGGAUGAGUUGCAAUCUAAAAGGUGGAUUACCAUGAACUAAGUGCUAUUGUUACCGACCAUUUCAAACCAGCAGAGUUACAAUUCGUAAAUUACAACAUAGUCUCUGGUUUAAGUUCUGGGGUCAGCCAUAUUCAUCUGCUAGGUUUCCUUUUAUUGUCCUGUGUUGGGUUUGUUUUGGUUAAAAUGUUGGGUAUAAUUGGUUGAAGGUAUCGUGCUGCUGACAAUAGAUUGUUUGGCAAUUGUUGAGACUAUAGACGUGCGAUGAAUUGGGUUCUUAUUCACUUGGAUCCCGCGCAAGAUUUGUGGUAGAUUGAUUUCUUCCUUGUGGUUUGGUAACCUUGAUGUGGAAUAUUGCUCUCGUGGAUGGAACUUCUUCUGUGGAUCAUUCUGCAUACUGAUUUGAGUUUUGUUCGUUCUAAAAUUUUGCAGAUCUGUCUCAAGAUCCAGAUCUCCUUAUUCAUCUCCUCGACCUUACAGUCGAAGCCAAAGUCCAAGGAGCAUGUAAUAGUCUCACCCGACCCCAGUGAGAUCUGAUGAAUGCAGCCAUUCUGUUGAGUUUGCUUUGGAGACUUGCCAUUGACUCUGUAUUUUUUAUACUACAAUUUUAAUUUGACAAGUGAGACCUAGGAUACAUACCAUUGUAGCUCUAUCUUAUUAUGUACUUGAAUUUUAAAGUUGUCAUGAGGAGUUUAUAUCUGGUAGAUUAUAGCAAAUUGAUAUGAAAUAUUAAACUAUGGAUGGGGUAUGUAUGUUACAUUCUGUCCGAUAUUGGAUUUGGUUAGUUAUUGCC